This 474-nucleotide ribosomal RNA is filed under the name uncultured bacterium. RNAcentral describes it as "SSU rRNA". It matches the Rfam family "Bacterial small subunit ribosomal RNA", at positions 26 to 518 of the family's 1533-position model. The record is from RNAcentral.
AGAUUGAACGCUGGCGGCAUGCCUUACACAUGCAAGUCGAACGGCAGCACGGGGGGCAACCCUGGUGGCGAGUGGCGAACGGGUGAGUAAUACAUCGGAACGUGUCCUGUAGUGGGGGAUAGCCCGGCGAAAGCCGGAUUAAUACCGCAUACGAUCUACGGAAGAAAGCGGGGGAUCCUUCGGGACCUCGCGCUAUAGGGGCGGCCGAUGGCAGAUUAGCUAGUUGGUGGGGUAAAGGCCUACCAAGGCGACGAUCUGUAGCUGGUCUGAGAGGACGACCAGCCACACUGGGACUGAGACACGGCCCAGACUCCUACGGGAGGCAGCAGUGGGGAAUUUUGGACAAUGGGGGAAACCCUGAUCCAGCAAUGCCGCGUGAGUGAUGAAGACCUUAGGGUUGUAAAGCUCUUUCGCGCGCGACGAUGAUGACGGUAGCGCGAGAAGAAGCCCGGCUAACUUCGUGCCAGCAGCCGC